AAAGAAACAGUACAUCUUACGCGUCUUUCCUUUGGAAAAUUAAAUACACGCUCAGCUUUUUACAGUGAGCAGCCAUCGAUGGGUCACCAUCUUCUUUCUCAAAACAGCGACCAUGGCCAACCCCCUCCCCUCCCUCUCUUCACCGCCUCUCUCCCCCCCCCCCAAACCCCCCCCCCCCCCCCCAACUAAACCGAUAGCUGGCCGCCUGUCACCCUACCUAUACACGAAUCUUUCAUUUUCAUCACCCAAAGCCAGCAAAUCGCCAAAAAUAAGAGAAAGUCCCAAUUUGGUGCAACAAUUCAAAAUUGGUGUCAAAUUCGCGUUUUUGAGUUCCGAAAUCAUGAAAAGGGGAGGUCUAAAAGCUGUGAGUUUGGACUUCAAAUAAGGAUUUUCUUCAUUUUGGGGUUUUGCCCGUUGGAGCCUUUUUUGUGUGUUUAAAUCCGGACUUUCGCGGCCGGAUUUCACCUAUAAAUAUGGGCGAAUUAGUAGCGUAAGAGAGCAGUGAAAAUUGUGGGAAAAAGCAGCAAGAGAGGUUCAAAAAAUCCGGCAAAAGCGGCAAGGCAAGGCAAAGGUUUUUUUAUUUUCUCGAAAUUUGUUCUUGGCAAAAAGAAAGAAAAAAUCAGUAAGUCACCAACGAGUGGCUGGAAUAGUUGUUCUUUUCUUCGGGUUUGCAAGUCGAGCUUGAAACCUUAAAUUUUGGGGUCUGAAGUUGAGUUUGCUGUCGGAACCUCGCCGUCGAAAUCCCAGUUUCGCUGCGCCGAAAAAGUAUGGGUACCGACCACCCAUGGCUGGUGGUUCGAGGAAGAGGAAAUAACGGCAGAAGCCAAAGUCAAAACACUAAAGGAAGAGGAUCCUCAUUUUCAUUUUAUACUUUAGGUUCUUCGAAUUUUCCUGUAUUACAAAGAGGAAAUAUGAGUUUGAUAAAUACGAAAAUACAGCAUAUUACAGAA
Long non-coding RNA from Capsicum annuum, 950 nucleotides. RefSeq lists it as uncharacterized. NCBI's taxonomy places the organism in Eukaryota, Viridiplantae, Streptophyta, Magnoliopsida, Solanales, Solanaceae. The record is from RefSeq and is a predicted model, not a curated record. The transcript has 2 exons.